RNAcentral lists this ribosomal RNA (1391 nucleotides) under uncultured bacterium. Its description in RNAcentral is "16S ribosomal RNA". It matches the Rfam family "Bacterial small subunit ribosomal RNA". The record is from RNAcentral.
UCAGGAUGAACGCUAGCUACAGGCUUAACACAUGCAAGUCGAGGGGCAGCAUGGUCUUAGCUUGCUAAGGCCGAUGGCGACCGGCGCACGGGUGAGUAACACGUAUCCAACCUGCCGUCUACUCUUGGACAGCCUUCUGAAAGGAAGAUUAAUACAAGAUGGCAUCAUGAGUCCGCAUGUUCACAUGAUUAAAGGUAUUCCGGUAGACGAUGGGGAUGCGUUCCAUUAGAUAGUAGGCGGGGUAACGGCCCACCUAGUCUUCGAUGGAUAGGGGUUCUGAGAGGAAGGUCCCCCACAUUGGAACUGAGACACGGUCCAAACUCCUACGGGAGGCAGCAGUGAGGAAUAUUGGUCAAUGGGCGAGAGCCUGAACCAGCCAAGUAGCGUGAAGGAUGACUGCCCUAUGGGUUGUAAACUUCUUUUAUAAAGGAAUAAAGUCGGGUAUGGAUACCCGUUUGCAUGUACUUUAUGAAUAAGGAUCGGCUAACUCCGUGCCAGCAGCCGCGGUAAUACGGAGGAUCCGAGCGUUAUCCGGAUUUAUUGGGUUUAAAGGGAGCGUAGAUGGAUGUUUAAGUCAGUUGUGAAAGUUUGCGGCUCAACCGUAAAAUUGCAGUUGAUACUGGAUAUCUUGAGUGCAGUUGAGGCAGGCGGAAUUCGUGGUGUAGCGGUGAAGUGCUUAGAUAUCACGAAGAACUCCGAUUGCGAAGGCAGCCUGCUAAGCUGCAACUGACAUUGAGGCUCGAAAGUGUGGGUAUCAAACAGGAUUAGAUACCCUGGUAGUCCACACGGUAAACGAUGAAUACUCGCUGUUUGCGAUAUACUGCAAGCGGCCAAGCGAAAGCGUUAAGUAUUCCACCUGGGGAGUACGCCGGCAACGGUGAAACUCAAAGGAAUUGACGGGGGCCCGCACAAGCGGAGGAACAUGUGGUUUAAUUCGAUGAUACGCGAGGAACCUUACCCGGGCUUAAAUUGCAGAUGAAUUACGGUGAAAGCCGUAAGCCGCAAGGCAUCUGUGAAGGUGCUGCAUGGUUGUCGUCAGCUCGUGCCGUGAGGUGUCGGCUUAAGUGCCAUAACGAGCGCAACCCUUGUUGUCAGUUACUAACAGGUUCCGCUGAGGACUCUGACAAGACUGCCAUCGUAAGAUGUGAGGAAGGUGGGGAUGACGUCAAAUCAGCACGGCCCUUACGUCCGGGGCUACACACGUGUUACAAUGGGGGGUACAGAGGGCCGCUACCACGCGAGUGGAUGCCAAUCCCCAAAACCUCUCUCAGUUCGGACUGGAGUCUGCAACCCGACUCCACGAAGCUGGAUUCGCUAGUAAUCGCGCAUCAGCCACGGCGCGGUGAAUACGUUCCCGGGCCUUGUACACACCGCCCGUCAAGCCAUGGGAG